Non-coding RNA from Triticum aestivum (bread wheat), 135 nucleotides. NCBI's taxonomy places the organism in Eukaryota, Viridiplantae, Streptophyta, Magnoliopsida, Poales, Poaceae. The record is from Rfam.
AUAAUACUCCCUCCGUCCCAAAAUUCUUGUCUUAGAUUCAUCCGGAUACGGAUGUAUCUAAUACUAAAACGUGACUUGAUACAUCCAUAUUUAGACAAAUAUAAGACAAGAAUUUUGGGACGAAGGGAGGUCAGA